GUGUCUCUGUAUCCUGCUGGACUAUAUGCCCUUUAAAGCAAGUAGAGCACAUUACUCAUCACUCAAUCUCCAGGACCAAGUUAAUGUUCUGUAUAUAGUAAUGUCGACAGCAACAUCUCCCCCAGGUGUAACAACUAAACGUGUCUCCAGACAUUGGCAAAUAUCCUUGGGCCAUGGAGAAAACAUCACCUUCAAUUGAAAACCACUGGGCCACUCUAAUGCCUUCAAGGGACAGAUCCCAGGUCUAAACCCUAGCCAAAACCCCUUGUGUUAGAGGAGCUCACCCUUUACUGCUGAUGAAAUCUCCAUGAUGAAGUGCUUUCCUGGUGACACCCAGAGAUCGUUUGCUAUGUGAAUGCUUUUCUUGCUCAAAUUUCAACAAACAUGAUUGGUAGGUGCUCUAUUUAGGCUGUAUAGAAAGCACCAGAACAUAGCGUGAUGGAGGCAGCAUGAACUCCUCAAAAUUGCCAAUACCAGCUCUAAAAUGAAAACAUACAUUAUCUUCAUACAUCAGAAGAAUGAAUACUGUUAAAAUUACCUUACUACUCAAAGUGAUCCACAGAUUUAAUGCAAUCUCCAUCAAAUGACAUUCUUCACAGAAAUAGAAAAAGUGAUCCUAAAAUCUGUGUAGAACCGUAACACUUUGAAUAGACAAAGUAAUCUAAGGAAAAAGAACAAAGCUGGAGACAUCACAUAACCUGACUUCAAAAUAUACUACAAGGCUACAAUAACAGAAACAACAUGAUAUUUGUAUGAAAGCAGACACAUAGACCAAUGAAACAGAAUAGAGAACCCAGAAAAAAAUCCACAUAUUUAUAGCCAAAAUAUCUUUUGACAAAGUGCCAAAAACAUACAUUAGGGAAAAGACACCAUCAUUGAUAAAUGAUACUAGAGAAAUUGGAUAUCCAUAUGCAGAAAAAUGAAGCUAGACCCCUAUCUCUCACCAUAUACAUAUAAAAAUCAACUCAAAAUGGAUUCAAGACUUAGAUGUAGACCAGAAAAUUUUUACUAUAAAAAAGACCAGAAACUAUAAAACUACUGGAAGAAAAUAUAGGGGGAAAAUGUUAGGAUACUGGCCUACGUAAAGAUAUUAUGACUAAGACUUCAAAAGCACAGGCAACAAAAACAAAAAUUGACAAGUGGGACUACAUGAAACUAAAAGGUUCUUGCACAGCAAAGGAAACAGUCAACAGAGUGAAGAGACAACCUGUAGAACAGAAGAAAGUAUUUGCAAACUAGUCAUCCAACAAUGAACUAAUAUCUAUAUUAUACAAGGAUCUCAAACGAUUCAAUAAAGAAGUUUUGAAGCCAAAAAAGAAAAAAAAAAGAAGAGAAAAGAGAACAGAAAAGAAGAAAAGAAAAGAAAGAAAGGAGAAGAGAGAGAAAGAGAGAAGAGAAGAGAAGAGAAAAGAAGAAAAGAAAAGAAAAGACCAGACCAGACCCAUAGAAUCCUAUGGGAUCUGCUGACAUGUUUGUCUGAACUUCGUCUUCCAUAUCACUGUCAAGAUAGUUUUUCUAACUCACCACUCCAAAAUCUAUGAAAAGCCUCCAUAAGCCCCUAGUUGCCCUCCAAAUUAUAACUGCAUUUGGUUCACACUUUUCCCUCCUCCUGAAGUGACUUUCCUUCUUAUUCCGCUUUUAAAAACUUUAUCACCUGCAAAAUUCACUUCAAAAAGAGCUCCCUCCAUGAAGGUUUAAUUACUCUCUUGGCCCUAAAGGAAUGACAUCUCCUGUUUGGCCUGUUCACAUUGCUGCACUGCACUGGUAACUCUUCAACGAAACCCAUUUUUACUCUUACCUCUUAUUGUUACUUAUGUACAGGUCUUAUUGCCUCUCUCAACCUCAACUAAACUAUUUAAGAGAAGUGUACUCAUCUGUUUAUUUCCUGCUGAGUCUAGUCCAAUCUCUUAUAAUUUUUAGACCAUUAAAAAGCUAUUUGCUGAAGUGAAUUGAGUUGAAAUUGGUAUAGACAAGCCAGUAUGUCUGGUCAUCUUAAUCUAUAUGUUAUUGAACAAUGUGCCAGCUGGAAUCUCCUUUUAUGUAGUGUCCUUCUCAGUAUUCUUUUUCCUUUCCCAUGGCAUUUUGAGUCCUACUGCUAAAGUAGAAAAUUUAAGAAAGCAUGUUUUCCAUAGUGAAAGAAACAUAGGUAAAAUUCUGAUAAAAAUAAAGCAUUAGAACUGAACAUUCAAUUAGUAAAUGCUAAUAAAUCCAUGGACUAAAACAAAAGUUAUCAUAAAAGUAGCUAGCAAUGCACAAGGACAUGUUUAGAUAAUAUUAUACAAUUUAUGCUUAUUUUCUUUCUCCAGUGCUCAUUCUUUCCAAAUGUUUGUUAUCUAUGCUGGAUCUUGAUGAGAGGAAGAAAAAAAGAAAAAUGAAUAAACCAUAUCUUACAAAAUG
Molecule: long non-coding RNA, 2397 nt
Filed under: Homo sapiens (human)
Lineage: Eukaryota; Metazoa; Chordata; Mammalia; Primates; Hominidae
Description: HSALNT0336473
Source: RNAcentral